GCAAGUCGAGGGGUAGCAGUAUAUUAGCUUGCUAAUUUAGCUGACGACCGGCUCACGGGUGAGUAACACGUAUGCAACCUACCUUUUACAGGGGAAUAGCCCAGAGAAAUUUGGAUUAAUGCCCCAUAACAUCAAUCAUUCGCAUGUUUGAUUGAUUAAAGCUCCGGCGGUAAAAGAUGGGCAUGCGUUCUAUUAGUUAGUUGGUAAGGUAACGGCUUACCAAGGCGACGAUAGGUAGGGGGUCUGAGAGGAUAGUC
RNAcentral lists this ribosomal RNA (257 nucleotides) under uncultured bacterium. Its description in RNAcentral is "partial 16S ribosomal RNA". It matches the Rfam family "Bacterial small subunit ribosomal RNA", at positions 57 to 305 of the family's 1533-position model. The record is from RNAcentral.